GGAAGUAAAAGUGUAACAAGGUUCCCGUAGGUGAACCUGCGGAAGGAUCAUUAUUGUAUAACCGAGGUGCGAGGGCUGUCGCUGACCCGAAAGGUCGUGCACGCCCGAGUGCCCUCACACACAUCCAUCUCACCCCUAUGUGCACCACCGCGUGGGUCCCCCUUUGGCUUGUUCGGAGGGGGGCUUACGUUUUCACACAAACUUUGUAUGCAGUGUAGAAUGUAUUUUUUGUUUUUGCGAUCACGCAAUCAAUACAACUUUCAACAACGGAUCUCUUGGCUCUC
This 284-nucleotide unclassified non-coding RNA is filed under the name plant metagenome. RNAcentral's name for it is "partial contains small subunit ribosomal RNA, internal transcribed spacer 1, and 5.8S ribosomal RNA". The stretch from base 1 to 53 matches the Rfam family "Eukaryotic small subunit ribosomal RNA", at positions 1778 to 1831 of the family's 1831-position model. The record is from RNAcentral.